AUUGAACGCUGGCGGCAGGCCUAACACAUGCAAGUCGAACGGUAACAGGAAGAAUCUUGCUUCUUUGCUGACGAGUGGCGGACGGGUGAGUAAUGUCUGGGAAACUGCCUGAUGGAGGGGGAUAACUACUGGAAACGGUAGCUAAUACCGCAUAACGUCGCAAGACCAAAGAGGGGGACCUUCGGGCCUCUUGCCAUCGGAUGUGCCCAGAUGGGAUUAGCUAGUAGGUGGGGUAACGGCUCACCUAGGCGACGAUCCCUAGCUGGUCUGAGAGGAUGACCAGCCACACUGGAACUGAGACACGGUCCAGACUCCUACGGGAGGCAGCAGUGGGGAAUAUUGCACAAUGGGCGCAAGCCUGAUGCAGCCAUGCCGCGUGUAUGAAGAAGGCCUUCGGGUUGUAAAGUACUUUCAGCGGGGAGGAAGGGAGUAAAGUUAAUACCUGUGCUCAUUGACGUUACCCGCAGAAGAAGCACCGGCUACUCCGUG
Molecule: ribosomal RNA, 489 nt
Filed under: uncultured bacterium
Lineage: Bacteria
Description: partial 16S ribosomal RNA
Rfam family: Bacterial small subunit ribosomal RNA
Source: RNAcentral